Molecule: long non-coding RNA, 1617 nt
Filed under: Anas platyrhynchos platyrhynchos (common mallard)
Lineage: Eukaryota; Metazoa; Chordata; Aves; Anseriformes; Anatidae
Description: lncRNA (ENSAPLG00000022866.1)
Source: RNAcentral
AUGCAAGUCAGAGAGCUAUAUCGACAGAUAAAUGGACAGAAAUCAGCAAGGCAUGGGUGUGGAAUUGUUAGAAGCAUUGGACUAAAUGUUGACCAAGUUAGAAACAGGAGAAUGAUGGACCUACAAAAUGAUGGAUCUACAAAAUAUCCUAUUAUGAAAGAUACAGAAGAAGGCAGACACUAUCCAUCAUGCCCCAGAGCUUUGAAGAGUUGACAUUAUUUGACCCAGAUUAUGACACUACAAGGGGAUAUUAUCAAACAUUCGGAGGAAUGCGAUUUACCACAGCCCUAACAGCAUCCCCACCCACAACUCAUUUACACUUCUUAACUCCAUCUGAUGGCAUCUCUGAUCAUAAGUCAUGAGUGAGGCAAAUAGAAGCUCUGGAGACAUUGAACUUGUUGAGAUUAGAGAGACUAUAAACAUCUGUGAUGUACAAAAACUGAGUAAUAUUGCAUUUUUGACUGAUUGUGAAAAUUUGUUCAUUUACAGCCAAGUUUCUUAUACAUUUCUUUCUGCUCAAGAUUUAUGUCCUAAUUUGCAUUUUGAUGUGCUUUGAAUCAGAGCAGGACACACUAACCAGAUCUGGAAUUAUAGUCCCUUUAAAAUGAAACUAUGAACUGCAUUGUACACCUGCUUGUAUAAUCUAUAAAGAUAAUGCUGACUAUGCUCAGAAUAAUAUUGAAUGCAUUUACACAUUAAUUAUUCUUUGAACAUGACAACAUGAUUAGUAUGAAGGUUUUCUUUCUAAUCGCAUUCUUCCCUUCUCAGUAAGAAUCUUAAACUUAGACGUGGCCCUUCAAUGGGUUACGUAUAUGUCCUGAUUUCAGCUAGGAUAGAGUUAGUUUUCCUCCUGGCAGCUGGUAUGGUGCUGUGUCUUGGAUUUAGGAUGAGAAUUAUGUUGAUGACACCCUGAUGUUUUAGUUGUUGUAGAGCAGUGCUUAUACAGAGACAAGGACUCUUCAGCUCCUCAUACUGCCCUGCCAGCAAUGAGGGUGUGGAUACAGCAGAAACUGAGAGGAGACACAACCAGAACAGCUGACCCAAACUGAAUGAAGAGAUAUUCCAUACCAUGUGGCAUCGUGAUCAACAAUUACUGUGGGGUGGCUGGCUGUGUGUGGGAGACCGCUGCGUCAGCAGGUGGUGAGCAAUUGCAUUGUGCAUCACUUGUGUUGUACAUUUCUUCUUCUACUUCUGAUUAUUAUUAUUUCUCUUCCUAUUAAACUAUCUCAAUGUUUUGUUUUGUUUUGUUAUUCUCCUAAUUUUCACCCCCAUCCCAAUUGGGGGGGGGAGGGGAGGAGGAGGAAGGAGGAGCAAACAGUUGUGUGGUGCUAAGAGCUGCCUGCCUGCCCAAUUAAACCACAAUAUCUGAAUACCACCUUAUCUGAAUACCAAAAACCACCUUAUCUGAAUACCGAAAACACUCUGCCAAAGCCAGAUUUAAGAGGCCAGAUAUCACUUCAUGAAGAGAAAUGACAUGAAUGUAGCUGAAUAAGAAAGGUCUUGACAAGCAUAUGUGUCUUGUGGGAAAAUACUAGAUACAUGGCAAGGACAAGAAAAUGGGAUGUUAGGAAAGCAUUUUUGUUUUUCCUCUGUAGAAUAAAUUCUGAAGGAAUAUCA